CAGUACCCCUACGCAGGCUACCUCCCCAACAGGCCCACCAUCAGCAGACGCUUCAUGCCGGCGCCAGGCACGCCGGAGUACGAGGAGCUGAAGGCCCACCCUGACAAGGCGUUCUUGAUGACUAUCACCAGCCAGCUGCAGACCAUUCUCGGGGUGUCACUGAUCGAGAUCCUGUCGAUGCACUCGUCCGACGAGGUGUACCUCGGUCAGCGGGACACGCCGGAGUGGACGACGGACCAGAGGGCGCUCGUGGCCUUCAACAGGUUCGGGUCGACACUGAAACGCAU
This 287-nucleotide long non-coding RNA is filed under the name Musa acuminata (dwarf banana). RNAcentral describes it as "long non-coding RNA (MACU_LNC005298)". Lineage: Eukaryota; Viridiplantae; Streptophyta; Magnoliopsida; Zingiberales; Musaceae. The record is from RNAcentral.